Molecule: ribosomal RNA, 253 nt
Filed under: uncultured bacterium
Lineage: Bacteria
Description: partial 16S ribosomal RNA
Rfam family: Bacterial small subunit ribosomal RNA
Source: RNAcentral
UACGUAGGGGGCAAGCGUUGUCCGGAUUUAUUGGGCGUAAAGCGCGCGUAGGCGGCCCUGUAAGUCCGUUGUGAAAGUCAAAGGCUCAACCUUUGAAAGCCGAUGGAUACUGCAGGGCUAGAGUCCGGAAGAGGCGAGUGGAAUUCCUGGUGUAGCGGUGGAAUGCGCAGAUAUCGUAAGGAAGACCAGUGGCGAAGGCGGGUCUCUGGACAGUUCCUGACGCUGAGGCACGAAGGUCAGGGGAGCAAACGGG